This 434-nucleotide ribosomal RNA is filed under the name uncultured bacterium. RNAcentral's name for it is "bacterial SSU rRNA". It matches the Rfam family "Bacterial small subunit ribosomal RNA", at positions 355 to 786 of the family's 1533-position model. The record is from RNAcentral.
UGAGGAAUAUUGGUCAAUGGGCGGGAGCCUGAACCAGCCAAGCCGCGUGAGGGAGGAAGGCCCUAUGGGUCGUAAACCUCUUUUGUCAGGGAACAAAAGCGAGUAUGUAUACUAGUCUGAGUGUACCUGAAGAAAAACGCAUCGGCUAACUCCGUGCCAGCAGCCGCGGUAAUACGGAGGAUGCGAGCGUUAUCCGGAUUUAUUGGGUUUAAAGGGCGCGUAGGCGGCGGUGCAAGUCAGCGGUAAAAGCCCGGGGCUCAACCCCGGCGAGCCGUUGAAACUGCAGUGCUAGAGAAGGCGAGAGGUACGCGGAAUGCGCAGUGUAGCGGUGAAAUGCUUAGAUAUUGCGCAGAACUCCGAUUGCGAAGGCAGCGUACUGGCGCCUGACUGACGCUGAGGCACGAAAGCGUGGGGAUCGAACAGGAUUAGAUACC